AAUUUUGAUUUCGGAUAUCUGAAUAUCCAAAAAAAAAGUCGGAUAUCGGAUCGAGCACCCGAUCCGAAAUAAAAAAAAAACACUUUUUUUACCAUUUUAAAAUAUUUUCAUAUUAUUAGAUGCCCUAAAGACAAAAACUCGGACAACCCUAAUUUUCCCUCAUAAUCUCAUAUCCGCCUCUUUCUCCCUCUUCUCACUUCUCAGAUCACCCUGUAACUCUCUUAGAUCGCUCCACCGUCGUCCGUCGUUGAAACUCACAGCCUCACUCCUCCACCAGUCGCAACUUCCCUCACUCCUUCACCUGCGGGCUGCGGUGGCAACCUGAGUUCCCUUGCUCCUCCACCAGCGACGGCUUGCGCUGCUUCCCUUGCUCUGCUAUGCUUUCCUCUUUGUUAUUACCACUAAUUUGAAUCAGUUAAUCGGGUUUUUAGAUGGAUGAUGCUACUGUAGAAUCUGCUAACCUAGCAAAUCCAUCAAGUGAGGAGGAGCCCUUGCCAUCAACCGCUGUUGCUGCUGCUGAGGAGCAUGCUGGAAUUGAAAAACCACCACAACCACCCAUUACAAAAAAAAAGGCCUUCAAUCGCGACUAGUGAUGGAGCUGAAAAAAAAGGUAAGAAGAAAAGAUCUUGGCUUUGGGAUCAUUAUGAGUAUUGUGAAGUUGAUGUUUGUGGUGACUCUAAAAAGGGUACAAGUGCUAUGAAAAAUUAUAUAGCUUAGAAAGGUGUAAGGAAUACCCCCCUAAUGUUGACAAAUCCCAAAGGCUUCUUGCUUUUCAAAUUGAGCAAAGUCAGCAAACAUUAGGAGAUGCUAGUGUAGGUGAUAAUGCAAGUGGGGAAAAAAAGGGUAAAUUAGAAUUUUGGAAGUUUAGGCAGGAGGAGGGUCGGAAAGCUUUUGCUAAAAUGAUAAUAAUGGAUGAAUUGCCCUUUAGGUUUGCUUAUCGUGAGGGUUUUCGCUACUUUAUGUCUGUUGUUCAGCCUAAUUUCAUUAUCCCCUCACGUUUUACAGUAGCUAGAGAUUGCUAUCGUGUGUUUUUAGAUGAAAAAAAAAUCAGAAAAGUUAUUUUAGCAAGUGUUCUUCUCGUAUUUCUCUCACUACUGACACAUGGCCCUCUUGCCAAAAUUUGUCAUACAUGUGUUUAAUAGCCCAUUUUAUUGAUCACAACUGAAACUUGCACAAAAAAAAAAACUAAUUUUUUGUCCAAUUAGUAGCCAUUUAGGUGAGGCUAUUGGUAAAGCGGUAGAAAAAAGUUUGCUUGAGUGGGGUAUCACUAAGGUAAUGGCCAUUACCGUGGACAAUGCAAGCUCAAAUGAUGUAGGUUUCCAAUAUUUGAGGAAGAGGUUACUAAGAUGGAAAGAUGGGACUGUUUUAGAGGGUAAAUUUGUGCAUAUGCGGUGUGCAACUCACAUUCUUAAUCUGACAGUAAGAGAAGGUUUGAAAGAAUGUGAUGAUUCAAUAAAAAGAAUACGUAAUGUUGUUCGAUUUGUUAGAUCUUCCCCUGCCAGAUUGCAAAAAUUCAGAAAUUGUGUAAAUCAAGAACAAAUUGAAUCUAAACGUCAGCUUUACUUGGAUGUUGAAACUAGGUGGAACUCCACUUAUUUGAUGUUGGAGUAUGCUUUGAUUUUUCGUAAGGCUUUUGAUUUGCUUGAAAAUUCUAAUGGUGGUAAAUUUUUUUCUAAGUUAACAAAGAUGUCGGGUGUUCCUACUGAUAUGGAUUGGGAUCGUGUUGCUUCUUUUAUUCCCUUUCUUAACAUUUUUUAUGAUGCUACUUUGAGACUCUCAGGAUCUUUGUAUGCUACUACUAAUGUGCAUUUGUUAGAACUUGUGACAAUUGGCAAGAUGAUUAAAAAAAAGUGUGAAAGUGUUGACAUUAAGGAAAGGUCAAUGGCCAAUGGGAUGAAGAAAAAGCAUGACAAGUAUUGGGAAAAUGUGGAUAACAUUAACUUGAUGUUGUAUGUUGCUGUAUGUUGUGCUUGACCCUAGACGUAAAAUGCAUUAUGUUAAGUGGGCUAUUAAUGAUCAAUAUGAUUCUGACAAGGCCACACAGUUGUAUGAUAUGGUGAUGGGAACUUUGACUUCUUUGUAUGAACAUUAUGUUGCUUUACAAUCUCAAAAUGUGUCAAGUGUUCCUAAAAAUAUUGAUUUGACUUCAAAAGACUUUGAAAACUAUAAUGAUUAGCAUGAUGUUGCUAAUUUGAGUUUGAGAGGGAUAUUGGUGGACAAACAGUUUUUGACAAAAAAAAAAGGUGAUUUGGACAAGUAUUUGAUGGAUGAUAGAGAGCCUAAUAUUAUGGGUAAGAGUUUUGAUGCUUUGGGAUGGUGGAAAAAAGCGGUGGAGAGAUAUCCUAUAGUUGGUCUUAUGGCUAGGGAUGUAUUAGCCAUUCCGGUCUCCACAGUUGCAUCCGAAUCUGCAUUUAGCACAUCCGAAUCUGCAUUUAGCACAUCCGAAUCUGCAUUUAGCACAGGUGGAAGAGUACUUGAUCCAUUUCGUAGUCCACUUUCUUCACAUAUGGUUGAAGCUUUGAUAUGUGCACAAGAUUGGAUGCGCACUACACGUGAUCCACUUAUGAUUGAAGAAAGUAUCGAUGACAUUCAACAAAUUGAAGAGGAAUUGUCAUCUCUUGUUUAUCCGCCUUCGGUUUCCGUCGUUGAUGAUUAUUUUUAGCAUUAGAAGGGUUGUUGACUUGCCAUACACUCGUACUUUGUUGAUCCGUUAUUGGUUUCCGGCGUUGAUGACUUAUUUAGUGUUAGAUAAAAUGUUUAUGCAUUGUUAACAUUUGGACAUUAAUGUUUUUGGACUUCAAAUUUUUCUUAUGUAAUUUGUACUUUUGUUGCAAUUAGCCAAUUAGUUUGCAUUUUGAAUGUUGUGUAUAAUUUUAUUAUGUAAGUUCUGAAAAUUAGUUGUUGGACAAUACUUUCAAAUCUAUUUUAUCUCUCUUUGUUCAGG
This is a long non-coding RNA of Chenopodium quinoa (quinoa), 2944 nucleotides long. RefSeq lists it as uncharacterized. The transcript is spliced from 4 exons. NCBI's taxonomy places the organism in Eukaryota, Viridiplantae, Streptophyta, Magnoliopsida, Caryophyllales, Amaranthaceae. The record is from RefSeq and is a predicted model, not a curated record.